ACUCAGAACUGGCGAAAGCGUUCGCAUACGCCCUGAACCAGUGGCCGGCGCUGACGUACUAUGCAGAUGAUGGCUGGGCUGAGGCGGACAAUAACAUCGCUGAAAAUGCGUUGCGGAUGGUCAGUCUGGGCCGCAAAAACUACCUGUUCUUCGGUUCGGAUCAUGGAGGAGAGCGGGGAGCGCUGCUGUACAGCCAGGAUGACCAGCCACACUGGAACUGAGACACGGUCCAGACUCCUACGGGAGGCAGCAGUGGGGAAUAUUGCACAAUGGGCGCAAGCCUGAUGCAGCCAUGCCGCGUGUAUGAAGAAGGCCUUCGGGUUGUAAAGUACUUUCAGCGGGGAGGAAGGGAGUAAAGUUAAUACCUUUGCUCAUUGACGUUACCCGCAGAAGAAGCACCGGCUAACUCCGUGCCAGCAGCCGCGGUAAUACGGAGGGUGCAAGCGUUAAUCGGAAUUACUGGGCGUAAAGCGCACGCAGGCGGUUUGUUAAGUCAGAUGUGAAAUCCCCGGGCUCAACCUGGGAACUGCAUCUGAUACUGGCAAGCUUGAGUCUCGUAGAGGGGGGUAGAAUUCCAGGUGUAGCGGUGAAAUGCGUAGAGAUCUGGAGGAAUACCGGUGGCGAAGGCGGCCCCCUGGACGAAGACUGACGCUCAGGUGCGAAAGCGUGGGGAGCAAACAGGAUUAGAUACCCUGGUAGUCCACGCCGUAAACGAUGUCGACUUGGAGGUUGUGCCCUUGAGGCGUGGCUUCCGGAGCUAACGCGUUAAGUCGACCGCCUGGGGAGUACGGCCGCAAGGUUAAAACUCAAAUGAAUUGACGGGGGCCCGCACAAGCGGUGGAGCAUGUGGUUUAAUUCGAUGCAACGCGAAGAACCUUACCUGGUCUUGACAUCCACGGAAGUUUUCAGAGAUGAGAAUGUGCCUUCGGGAACCGUGAGACAGGUGCUGCAUGGCUGUCGUCAGCUCGUGUUGUGAAAUGUUGGGUUAAGUCCCGCAACGAGCGCAACCCUUAUCCUUUGUUGCCAGCGGUCCGGCCGGGAACUCAAAGGAGACUGCCAGUGAUAAACUGGAGGAAGGUGGGGAUGACGUCAAGUCAUCAUGGCCCUUACGACCAGGGCUACACACGUGCUACAAUGGCGCAUACAAAGAGAAGCGACCUCGCGAGAGCAAGCGGACCUCAUAAAGUGCGUCGUAGUCCGGAUUGGAGUCUGCAACUCGACUCCAUGAAGUCGGAAUCGCUAGUAAUCGUGGAUCAGAAUGCCACGGUGAAUACGUUCCCGGGCCUUGUACACACCGCCCGUCACACCAUGGGAGUGGGUUGCAAAAGAAGUAGGUAGCUUAACCUUCGGGAGGGCGCUUACCACUUUGUGAUUCAUGACUGGGGUGAAGUCGUAACAAGGUAACCGUAGGGGAACCUGCGGUUG
RNAcentral lists this ribosomal RNA (1425 nucleotides) under Escherichia coli Nissle 1917. Its description in RNAcentral is "bacterial SSU rRNA". It matches the Rfam family "Bacterial small subunit ribosomal RNA", at positions 189 to 1520 of the family's 1533-position model. Lineage: Bacteria; Pseudomonadati; Pseudomonadota; Gammaproteobacteria; Enterobacterales; Enterobacteriaceae. The record is from RNAcentral.